AGUUUNNNNAUGGCUCAGGACGAACGCUGGCGGCGUGCUUAACACAUGCAAGUCGAACGAUGAAGCCCUUCGGGGUGGAUUAGUGGCGAACGGGUGAGUAACACGUGGGCAAUCUGCCCUUCACUCUGGGACAAGCCCUGGAAACGGGGUCUAAUACCGGAUAACACUCCUGCCGGCAUGGGUGGGGGUUGAAAGCUCCGGCGGUGAAGGAUGAGCCCGCGGCCUAUCAGCUUGUUGGUGAGGUAGAAGCUCACCAAGGCGACGACGGGUAGCCGGCCUGAGAGGGCGACCGGCCACACUGGGACUGAGACACGGCCCAGACUCCUACGGGAGGCAGCAGUGGGGAAUAUUGCACAAUGGGCGAAAGCCUGAUGCAGCGACGCCGCGUGAGGGAUGACGGCCUUCGGGUUGUAAACCUCUUUCAGCAG
Molecule: ribosomal RNA, 428 nt
Filed under: Streptomyces umbrinus
Lineage: Bacteria; Bacillati; Actinomycetota; Actinomycetes; Kitasatosporales; Streptomycetaceae
Description: bacterial SSU rRNA
Rfam family: Bacterial small subunit ribosomal RNA
Source: RNAcentral